This 116-nucleotide ribosomal RNA is filed under the name Salmonella enterica. The record is from RNAcentral. RNAcentral also lists the same sequence under 2 other names. Lineage: Bacteria; Pseudomonadati; Pseudomonadota; Gammaproteobacteria; Enterobacterales; Enterobacteriaceae.
CCUGGCGGCACUAGCGCGGUGGUCCCACCUGACCCCAUGCCGAACUCAGAAGUGAAACGCCGUAGCGCCGAUGGUAGUGUGGGGUCUCACCAUGCGAGAGUAGGGAACUGCCAGGC